CUAGAAUUGUGGUUGUGCGAGAAUUGACUCAUUCAGAAGGGCCCACAUAAAGCCUACUGUGUUCUUCAAAGAAAAGUAUAGAUGUUUUUUUAAAGAAGUACAAGAUGAGGGAUUUGAAAACAGCUGGGACACUGCACGUUCCAAUACCUCUUAUAUUAAAACAGUCAUGUUUAUGAUCUGCAAUCAAAUUUGUAUGCUCUUUAAAAAAUAUUGUCUAAACAAAAGCUUUGCCUUACUCUGCUGGUUUGGAAUAUUGUGUUUUUGUGCUUAUAUAACACAAGAAACCUUAGAUAAAGAUGUUAUCUUCCACCACCACCGUCAUACAAUCUCUGUACCAAUGUCAAGUAUUUUCUUGCAUCUCUGUGGCAAUUUUGCACUGUGAUGGUUCAAUCUCCCAGUCAGGGGUUAAAACCCUUCAUAAUGGGGCCAUCCAUCCUCAUACCAGGACUUGAGGGAAUAAAAAAAAAUGCUCUGCACUUUUUGGCACACACACACACGCACACAUGCAAACACACUCGACACUUUUACUUUCCCACCUGAGCCAGUAUAAAUGAGCAGCCCCCCUCCUCUCUGUCGCUCUAAUAUGGAUGAAGGAGCUACUUGGCGACUUGACGACCCUAAUUUCCACCCCAUUGAAGAGCGUCCCAUACAGCUGUAGCUGAUGAAAUACAUUAGCUGGAAACGCAACUCUUCCGCCGCAGAUGAUACCACCUGCAGAACACAGUCUGCCAGCGAUGAAAGGACAACGGGAGGAACACCUGUGUCCACUGGAGAGUGUGUAUCCAUGGAGUGGGCAUAUGGGCGCAGAGAUGACCACGAGCCAGCCUGGCUCAGGUUGCUGUUACCUCUCGGUCACCUCCAGACCACGGCAGAUGCCAUAUCGGCAUGGAUGAAGGAGAAGCUGGGGCAUGUACAAAGAAUUAUAUUAUAGGUAAUAAGGAUCAAAAUAUAUUAUAUCAUAAUCUCGUGAUCUACUUUCGAGUUUCUGACACAGUGUGAUGGCAUGGUAAAAUUAGAAUUUGUCAUUUUAAGCCCGGUAUUUACUUCUGUCUCACACCAUUGCAUUAAGAGAAGGAAGGAAUUUUCUCAAAUAUUGUACUUAAUUACAGUUAAAAUUCUUACAAAAUAAGAUUAUUUAAAAUUUGCUUUACUACAUUACAGAAGUGAUUCGAACAUUUUGCUGAUCCCAAUCUUAAGUUCUUCUUUUACACUUCUGCGUUUAUUGCAGAAUGCAAAUGCAUGCAGGAUUGAAUGGGUGAUGCACUAAAAUUGCGUAAUCAAGUAAUAAGUGCUAGGUGUACGCAGAAAAAUAGUACACCCGCUGACUAAUGUGGGUAGAUUUUGAUAGAUAUUUUCAUACCGCAGGAACAGAGAAGACAAACAAGUAAAGCAACUUUUGCAGACUUUGCAAAGCAACCAUAACAAAAAAAAAAAUACAAAAAUUGGUGACAUUUAUCAAAAUAAAAAGGAUUCUGUCAGUAGACAAACCUGCCAGCAGGCUUUUGCAGUGGUCAUGAUUCUCAUUUUAUUAGAAACAAGUUGAACUUCCUUGGAGGUUAGCCUGUGGUCCCUCUGGCAUUUCACUGAGAUCUCUAUUCAUCCAUAACCGUUAGGAGAGACUAGCACUACUCCCAGAUGACCUAGCAUCUGUUUAUGGUCAUAAACAUGCCGGGGACGCACUUGCACAAACACGAUGUCAGACACUGACGAAUCCCCUCGAUCGUGAACAAGAUAAAUUCAUUAAUAAAACUUCAUAACAAUGAAAAUUUAAAUGACUUGCCUCUGAAAAUGGGCCACGGGAGCAGCGAAAAAAAUCAACAAAAAUUUAAUCAGGCCUUGAAACGAAUACCAGAAUGGGAUAUUUGAACCGAGCAGCCACAACAAGCGGCAAAGCUGUAAAU
This 1901-nucleotide long non-coding RNA is filed under the name Oreochromis niloticus (Nile tilapia). Its description in RNAcentral is "lncRNA (ENSONIG00000042597.1)". The record is from RNAcentral. Lineage: Eukaryota; Metazoa; Chordata; Actinopteri; Cichliformes; Cichlidae.